RNAcentral lists this ribosomal RNA (465 nucleotides) under Vreelandella stevensii. RNAcentral describes it as "partial 16S ribosomal RNA". It matches the Rfam family "Bacterial small subunit ribosomal RNA", at positions 338 to 795 of the family's 1533-position model. Lineage: Bacteria; Pseudomonadati; Pseudomonadota; Gammaproteobacteria; Oceanospirillales; Halomonadaceae. The record is from RNAcentral.
CCUACGGGAGGCAGCAGUGGGGAAUAUUGGACAAUGGGGGCAACCCUGAUCCAGCCAUGCCGCAUGUGUGAAGAAGGCCCUCGGGUUGUAAAGCACUUUCAGUGAGGAAGAACGCCUGGUGGUUAAUACCCAUCAGGAAAGACAUCACUCACAGAAGAAGCACCGGCUAACUCCGUGCCAGCAGCCGCGGUAAUACGGAGGGUGCGAGCGUUAAUCGGAAUUACUGGGCGUAAAGCGCGCGUAGGUGGCUUGAUAAGCCGGUUGUGAAAGCCCCGGGCUCAACCUGGGAACGGCAUCCGGAACUGUCAAGCUAGAGUGCAGGAGAGGAAGGUAGAAUUCCCGGUGUAGCGGUGAAAUGCGUAGAGAUCGGGAGGAAUACCAGUGGCGAAGGCGGCCUUCUGGACUGACACUGACACUGAGGUGCGAAAGCGUGGGUAGCAAACAGGAUUAGAUACCCGUGUAGUC